This 262-nucleotide long non-coding RNA is filed under the name Nicotiana benthamiana. RNAcentral's name for it is "long non-coding RNA (NBEN_LNC013574)". The record is from RNAcentral. Lineage: Eukaryota; Viridiplantae; Streptophyta; Magnoliopsida; Solanales; Solanaceae.
GGGGACUGGGACACUUACUAGACAUAUGAUGGCUAUCCAUCCCAUAGAAUGGGGAAAUAAUGGGGAUGGAAGUUAAACAACUAUUAACCCUACUACUGGAGGUUAUUUAUUAAAGUGGCCUUGAUUUAUUUUCAGUUGAGAUCACUCAUGUUAGAAGAGCAGUUGGUGUUAUUCAGGGAAAUAAUAGACAAUCUAGAAUAAAAGAAUUUAAGACUAAGUGUAUCCAGUAUAACCUUACACCUAGAUUCAUGCCAGACGAAAU